RNAcentral lists this ribosomal RNA (815 nucleotides) under Salmonella enterica subsp. enterica serovar Paratyphi B var. L(+) tartrate +. RNAcentral's name for it is "partial 23S ribosomal RNA". It matches the Rfam family "Bacterial large subunit ribosomal RNA", at positions 374 to 1191 of the family's 2925-position model. The record is from RNAcentral. Lineage: Bacteria; Pseudomonadati; Pseudomonadota; Gammaproteobacteria; Enterobacterales; Enterobacteriaceae.
CGUACACAAAAGCGCAUGUGUUGUGAGCUCGAUGAGUAGGGCGGGACACGUGGUAUCCUGUCUGAAUAUGGGGGGACCAUCCUCCAAGGCUAAAUACUCCUGACUGACCGAUAGUGAACCAGUACCGUGAGGGAAAGGCGAAAAGAACCCCGGCGAGGGGAGUGAAAAAGAACCUGAAACCGUGUACGUACAAGCAGUGGGAGCACAGGUUUACCUGUGUGACUGCGUACCUUUUGUAUAAUGGGUCAGCGACUUAUAUUCUGUAGCAAGGUUAACCGUAUAGGGGAGCCGGAGGGAAACCGAGUCUUAAUUGGGCGUUAAGUUGCAGGGUAUAGACCCGAAACCCGGUGAUCUAGCCAUGGGCAGGUUGAAGGUUGGGUAACACUAACUGGAGGACCGAACCGACUAAUGUUGAAAAAUUAGCGGAUGACCUGUGGCUGGGGGUGAAAGGCCAAUCAAACCGGGAGAUAGCUGGUUCUCCCCGAAAGCUAUUUAGGUAGCGCCUCGUGAAUUCAUCUCCGGGGGUAGAGCACUGUUUCGGCUAGGGGGCCAUCCCGGCUUACCAACCCGAUGCAAACUGCGAAUACCGGAGAAUGUUAUCACGGGAGACACACGGCGGGUGCUAACGUCCGUCGUGAAGAGGGAAACAACCCAGACCGCCAGCUAAGGUCCCAAAGUCAUGGUUAAGUGGGAAACGAUGUGGGAAGGCCCAGACAGCCAGGAUGUUGGCUUAGAAGCAGCCAUCAUUUAAAGAAAGCGUAAUAGCUCACUGGUCGAGUCGGCCUGCGCGGAAGAUGUAACGGGGCUAAACCAUG